Molecule: long non-coding RNA, 680 nt
Filed under: Rattus norvegicus (Norway rat)
Lineage: Eukaryota; Metazoa; Chordata; Mammalia; Rodentia; Muridae
Description: long non-coding RNA NONRATT006667
Source: RNAcentral
UAGGAGCUCAUGUCCCAGUCUGGGGUGAUGUAUUGUUUCUUUAUGACCUUGCUGGGCUCGUGUCUUGAUCUGACCUCGACACCUCAUUGUGCCCUCUUGUCUGGUAGUCUCCACCUCCUGAACAUUUCAUCUCACCCAUGUUGCCGUUGUUUGGGUCUCCUUCUUAGCUUCAUGGGACAUAGCUCCUUGCACAUUCUCGGCCCCAUCUCCCUCAGUCAGCUUUCCAGGGCAUCACCGAAGCGUCUGCCUUGCUGCUGUGUUAAACAUACUGGUACGACUGCAAAGUCUGGCCUUGGCAUGUACCGCUUGCCAAUGUGAUUCUGCACACUGAGCUGCGGGGCUCCCUUUCUCCCUAACUCCUCUUUCAGUCUUCCCUCCUCGACUACAGAGGUUUAGUCUACCCCAAUACACAGGGCAGAAAGCUUGAAGUCUGUUCUAGAACCAAUCCAGGAAAUCGUCGCCUUUCCUUCUGAAGAGGACCAGCCAGUGAGCCCUCCCUGCCCACCAUCUCUUGUGCUCUCAUCCUGAUCUCAGUUUCCCGUUAUCUUGAAGGAUAACAAGAGCAUCCUCAUGGCUGCCACUGCUGCCUUCACAGCACACUUGAGUAGCUCUUGUUCACCCUGGGGGUUAAACUCUGCAAUCCCUGUUCAUACCCGACACUCAGCUCAGUGUUGAGCACA